AAAGAGGAAAGGGGAGUGAGAAAAGGGGGAUCAAAUGGGAUAGAGGUUUGUUUUGUUCUCUCCUCUCUAUCUGUUGAAGGUUCCUGGCUGAUGCAGCCUGUUGUUUAAUCUCAGCAGGCACCAUGGCUCGGUGUGAGGCUGCGUGGUCAGGAAAAAGGCACUCCAGUGCAGAGAGACUUCAAACACAGCCAGGGUGUCAGAGGGUGACUCAACACAUACAAAGUUCCUCCUCAGGAGCAAUAAUGAAGUAUUUUGGUCAUGAUGCUGACACAACCAGAGAUGAUGAAAGCGCUGCUCCAAUGGUAACCUUUGAUGAAUGCCAACCAACUUCUUCUGUUUCGGAGAUCUCUUCUCCACCUCCACCAACUGAUCCUGCUCAGAGGCCAUCAAAUCUGUCUGACCAAGUAAAGACCAACUUGGUUUUUAGGGGUCCUUGAUUUUAAUAUACUGCCGAUCUGAACCUUUUGAAUCUUACAUAUGUGUUGUACUGAAGGUGUUUUGCUCUUUACAUUGGUAGUUCUUCAGACUGUGAUGAAAUAUUAUCACUUUUUUUCUGUGUUAAUACGACAGGUUUGGAGUCACGUCCUUAUAUACAGUCUAUGGGACAAACACAGUUAAUGCCAUUUUAGAGUUUUACUUUGAAUGUUUCAGAGAGUGUAUUUUAUUAGCAGUAAAAGAACUGUGGCCCGUCAUGUUGCUAGAGGUACAAAUAAAAUGUAUAAGGGUUAUAAUUGCAUACAGUAGCUGGUUGUAUGAAUACUUCACCUUCUAUCUACUGCUAGGCAGGGUCCUCAAAAUUAUCCUGCUCAGGCCCCCAGGUGUACAUGGCCGGUAUUAUGGUUAUAGUAACAUUUAUUCAUAAUAUCAAAACGAGAAGCAAAGAGAGAUCAUCAAACAGCAACCCGGCCUAAACAAGAUGUUGAUUAGA
This is a long non-coding RNA of Micropterus dolomieu (smallmouth bass), 928 nucleotides long. RefSeq lists it as uncharacterized. NCBI's taxonomy places the organism in Eukaryota, Metazoa, Chordata, Actinopteri, Centrarchiformes, Centrarchidae. The record is from RefSeq and is a predicted model, not a curated record. The transcript has 3 exons.